RNAcentral lists this ribosomal RNA (829 nucleotides) under uncultured fungus. RNAcentral's name for it is "eukaryotic LSU rRNA". The stretch from base 1 to 241 matches the Rfam family "Eukaryotic small subunit ribosomal RNA", at positions 1593 to 1831 of the family's 1831-position model. The record is from RNAcentral. Lineage: Eukaryota; Fungi.
UUGCUCUUCAACGAGGAAUUCCUAGUAAGCGCAAGUCAUCAGCUUGCGUUGAUUACGUCCCUGCCCUUUGUACACACCGCCCGUCGCUACUACCGAUUGAAUGGCUUAGUGAGGCCUCCGGAUUGGCUAUUGGGAGCUCGCGAGAGCACCCGACUGCCGAGAAGUUGUACGAACUUGGUCAUUUAGAGGAAGUAAAAGUCGUAACAAGGUUUCCGUAGGUGAACCUGCGGAAGGAUCAUUAGUGAAUCUAGGACGUCCAACUUAACUUGGAGUCCGAACUCUCACUUUCUAACCCUGUGCAUCUGUUUUAAAAUUGGCUAGUAGCUCUUCGGAGUGAACCACCAUUUUUCACUUAUACAAACACAAAGUCUAUGAAUGUAAACAAAUUUAUAACAAAACAAAACUUUCAACAACGGAUCUCUUGGCUCUCGCAUCGAUGAAGAACGCAGCGAAAUGCGAUACGUAAUGUGAAUUGCAGAAUUCAGUGAAUCAUCGAAUCUUUGAACGCACCUUGCGCUCCUUGGUAUUCCGAGGAGCAUGCCUGUUUGAGUGUCAUGAAAUCUUCAACCCACCUCUUUCUUAGUGAAUCUGGUGGUGCUUGGUUUCUGAGCGCUGCUCUGCUUCGGCUUAGCUCGUUCGUAAUGCAUUAGCAUCCGCAACCGAAACUUCGGAUUGACUUGGCGUAAUAGACUAUUCGCUGAGGAUUCCAGACUUGUUCUGGAGCCGAGUUGGGUUAAAGGAAGCUUCUAAUCCUAAAGUCUAUUUUUUGAUUAGAUCUCAAAUCAGGUAGGACUACCCGCUGAACUUAAGCAUAUCAAUAAGCGGAGGA